This 460-nucleotide ribosomal RNA is filed under the name uncultured bacterium. RNAcentral's name for it is "partial 16S ribosomal RNA". It matches the Rfam family "Bacterial small subunit ribosomal RNA", at positions 338 to 795 of the family's 1533-position model. The record is from RNAcentral.
CCUACGGGGGACAGCAGUGAGGAAUAUUGGUCAAUGGACGAGAGUCUGAACCAGCCAAGUAGCGUGAAGGAUGACUGCCCUAUGGGUUGUAAACUUCUUUUAUAUGGGAAUAAAAUGUUCCACGUGUGGGAUUUUGUAUGUACCAUAUGAAUAAGGAUGGGCUAACUCCGUGCCAGCAGCCGCGGUAAUACGGAGGAUCCGAGCGUUAUCCGGAUUUAUUGGGUUUAAAGGGAGCGUAGGUGGAUUGUUAAGUCAGUUGUGAAAGUUUGCGGCUCAACCGUACAAUUGCAGUUGAAACUGGCAGUCUUGAGUACAGUAGAGGUGGGCGGAAUUCGUGGUGUAGCGGUGAAAUGCUUAGAUAUCACGAAGAACUCCGAUUGCGAAGGCAGUUCACUGGACUGCAACUGACACUGAGGCUCGAAAGUGUGGGUAUCAAACAGGAUUAGAUACCCGGGUAGUC